Molecule: long non-coding RNA, 200 nt
Filed under: Elaeis guineensis (African oil palm)
Lineage: Eukaryota; Viridiplantae; Streptophyta; Magnoliopsida; Arecales; Arecaceae
Description: long non-coding RNA (EGUI_LNC003813)
Source: RNAcentral
CAUCAUCAUCUGCCUCCUCCUUCUGCUUCUCUCUAGCAGCUGGUGGAUGAGAGUCAGAUGUCCCAGCAUCCUGUAAUAAAAAAAUAAAAUAAUAUUAAUAAGUUUUGACAUGGAUGUAUAUCUUUCGAUAUACUCAUUCGAUUCUCGAACAGAUUAUUCCUACAUAUUUUAUUCGAUGAUACGGAGCUAUAGACAUCUCC